AUUUGUGAAGGUUGUUCGAUACCUCCUCUGCUUCCUUUUACCUACUCCGGAAGGCUGUCGGUCUUCGUUUCCAGGACUCGGAGAGAAGUCGUAUGCUACAAGCACCGAAGCCAUGAAAAUCCCAAACUCGAUAGCCGAUACCAUAAUCACAAGACUCGAAGAGGGCCUCUCAUUAUCCGAAACAGGAGCCACGAGUUUACUCUCCUCUGACUUCAUCCACCCUCACCGAAUCAGCCUAAUCGCGUUACACCAUGCGACAGGGAAGCAGACCGAGGAAGAUUGCGAGCACAUCAGACCGGCGAGGGCGUUCGUCUGAAGAUCACCACCAGGAUUGAUCUCGUCCGAGGGACCAGAACCAACGAUCUGCCCUCCGGAGACCAGAG
Orussus abietinus is the source of this 383-nucleotide long non-coding RNA. RefSeq lists it as uncharacterized. NCBI's taxonomy places the organism in Eukaryota, Metazoa, Arthropoda, Insecta, Hymenoptera, Orussidae. The record is from RefSeq and is a predicted model, not a curated record. The transcript is spliced from 3 exons.